GGCAGGGGAGGCGGGCGACGAGGGCAGGCAACAGUCGGCCCGUCGCGAUGUGGUGAAGCUACAGGGAAGAGGGAGGAGGUCGGCGAUAGGGUGAAGGAGUAGGCCGGCCCUCGUGGAGGCUGCGCUGCCGGCCGGCCAGGGAGGCGGCCCGGCUCGCCUCUGCCUCCACCCUCACCUCCUUUUCCAUGCCUCUUCCUCUGCAUAGUAGCAUGUGCGAGGUUGCGGGCACAGGCAACCAUGGGCAAAUUUUGGGGAGACGCCAAGAUGAGCUUCCCCUCUGUUCCAUGCCCUAAUCUCUCUCUAAAGAUUUGUGUAGCCUAAAUGUCUCUGUACCGUGUAAGCAGGCCCAACCUAAUGCACACCAUCGGCCUGAUGAAUGACCAAAUGAUUUGUUUUUGUUGCCAUAUAGACUAUUGACUGGUGUGUAGGAGCCCUUCUAAUUGGUGUUCUAUGUGUGUUUUCUUUUGUUCUGUUGCAGAAUAAUAAUUCAAGUGGAUGGCCGAUGAGUCUUGUUGUUUAGCGGUAUGAUGGUCGGUGAAAGUAUGUUCUAUGUAUAUUGCAAGGUGAUGGGCUGCUGACUUUUGUUGUCCACUUCUACUGAUUUCUACCCACUUGCUUAAUUUGAUAUCUGCUGUAUAAGUAAUGGCCCUAUUAUACAGUACAUAAAAAAUGACCCGUCUUAUAUUCCAAAAGAAUGGUUUUGCUAUGCGCUGCUUGGAAUCAUCAGUGUUCGUUAUUUUUGUUCAGAUUUGUUAUGUACGCAUGGUAGAUCUUUCUAGGUUCUACUUUCUUAUUCUUCAGCCAUAAUUCAGUUCAUGUCACCAAGUUGCAGCCAUACCAAAGUGCAGACAUUUAAAUAUUUUAGAACAGAACAAUUAGAUGAUUUUAAUUCUGAGUGCAUAAAUGCUUUGGUUAAUGGUUUAGAAAUGCAUUGCGUAUGUAGUUAUGUUAACAUGUUUGCUAGAGGGAUCAGAAUGGUCUUUGAGUCGUUCAAAACUGAAGGGAGCACCGAGGUAUCACAUUUGCAAAAUCAUGCAUAUGCAGGAGCACGGCAGUCUAGCGACCUAAAUUUCUCCCCAACUUAUGUCUUUUUGUUCAGUCCAGAAUUUCAGGUUUCCCGUGGUUUCUGUUGCCAAGGUUUUAUCUUUAUUUUCGUGCUGCGCAGAUGAUUUCUGUUGAAGCCGAGCCAAUUGAGAUCCAAGAGCCUCCUCCAUCUUACCCUCCUCACCAAGGAGGUCGGAUUGAUCUAGGAUCUUUUUCCUUAAUUUUGAGGUCCUCCCUUGGCCCCUCUACUUGGCUCUCCUCUGUCUUGUUUCUCCUCUAUAAAAAAAUAUGGAAACUACCACGAGAGAUAAUUGCGGCUUGCUGCUCUUCGCUGCAGAAUAUCACAAAGAAGUAUAUCAGUUGGCAUCCUCCCAGAAGAAGAGAAGUCAACAUACAAAGAAAAAAUCAUGGCCAAACUUUUUUAAACCAUAAGCAACUUGUUAUGAUGUGAUGAUACCUGGUCAAGCUUUUCUCAUUUUUCUGAAAACUCAUUUAUCAAGUGAAUCUACUAUGCCAAGGAAGUAGGGAGCGACCAAUGGUUUCACUUAUUGGAGGGGAGACGCGGAAUCAGCGCACUGCCUGACCCCAAAGGCUUGAGGGAGCGGGUCUCCUGUAGGGAAAUAGCAAGCAUUGCAUAAUUUCCUUUAAAUAAUCAAAUCUCAAUUAAAUCAAGUAUAUGACCAUGUAUUUUUAUCAAAUAAGCCAGAAAAAAAGAAAUACAACACCACAAAACCCCUAGAAGUGUCAUAGAAAUUGUGCUUCAGAAUUAUUUGUCAAUCCCAUGCAGCUAUCUUGCCAUGGAAAUAAUCUCAUAUCAAUAUACGUUCAGAACUAUAUCCAUCAUAGCGUCCUUCCAGCUUCACUUACAGGCACCUGCUUGUUAUUUACCCAACUAAUAGUUGUUGCUUGGUAAUAAAGAAAAGAUAGCUAGAUAAACAAUUAGUCCAGUAGACCAUAUGCUUAUUGUUUUAUACACACUCACUUCAUUUCCAAAUAAUCUUUUAUGCAAACUCGCUUGGUACCUACAUAAGAAAUCAACAUUAUCAGUUUCUUGUGACUAUAACUCAUAGUUGAGGUAAAGGUGUACUCACCAAGUCUGGUGGUAUAUUUUAUCUAUUAUUUUUUUGCCUUUAGAAACUACUCGUUGAUGCUGUGGAGUAUGGAGUCGUUCAAACAAAUGUAUAAAAUGUAUGGAUAUGGUGCUGGGUGAAACUAUAGUACAUGAUGUGGAAGGUCUCCAUGGAGAUUCAUAGAUCAUUGCUUAAAUUCUCAAAAUGAAUCUUACUUAAAUUCCCUGGUUAGAUUCUUCAGUUGCAGGAAAAGUACUACUUGGUUCUUCUCUUUAACUAGAGUGCUAUUGUGAAUUUGUGAUAGUCAUUUUUCAUCUACUGUGUCUCAGGUGGAUGUUCUAAAAGCUGCAUUUUCUCUGAUAAAAAAUAAUGUGUUUCAUCAAACUUUGCUGGGGGACCACAUGCAUAUUAAUUGUGCCUGUUCUGUAUGGUCCUUGAGAUAGAACUUCAACAUCUGUCUCUCAUGUUUCUGCAUCUUCUAUCUCUUCUGAAAGUAUCCAGGACCUGCCCAAGAUGCAGAAACAUGGACAUCGAAUAAGUUUUCUGUUUCAAUAAAUCCGCUUGAGCUUUCUCUACACUCAGGAUCAACCAGAUUCCACUCUUACAUCUGUUUAGCACUUCAUUUCCAUGUGCAAUUCCUUGCUUUGACUUGUCUCAUAACCAUAUUGAGUCCUGUCUAGACCAAACAUGUAUCAUAUAAUACCUCCUGUUACAGUAUCGUUGAAACUUAAGCGCUGACUGUAGUGCGAUCACCCUGUGUGUAAGCUUGCUGGUUGCGCCAGCAGAAAAUUGUAUCAGCUCUGUCAGACCGUAGGUGAUGCUGAGUGCUGAGCUGCAGAUCAUUCCUCUAGGAUGUGUAUACCUUUCCUUUUUUUUUUUGCGGGAGGAUGUGUAUACCUUUCCAUUCCCAUGUUCUACUUAUUUAUUUGAUUAGUCAAAUAUAAUAUCAGAUAUUCAUGUGAAAUAAGACUGGUUAAUUGUAGCAAUUCAUACAUAAUUUUUCAGUAUACUUCAUAUUCUGUUUAAGAGAAAUAAAUUAGAAAGGCAUAUGAUUGUCCAGGCAAGCUGUAUGAUGUAAGCACUGGCGGAGGAGAAAACUUUAUAGGCUAAUCAAGUGGCCGUUUUGUCCACUUUUAUGGAAGCUGACUCUCCAAAUUUUGUGCUUUCUAUGAACACUCAAAGUUCCUUGUUGUAAGCAAUCUUACAAUACUGAACUUUAUUAUGC
This 3339-nucleotide long non-coding RNA is filed under the name Triticum aestivum (bread wheat). RNAcentral's name for it is "long non-coding RNA (TAES_LNC015345)". Lineage: Eukaryota; Viridiplantae; Streptophyta; Magnoliopsida; Poales; Poaceae. The record is from RNAcentral.